Cornus florida is the source of this 461-nucleotide long non-coding RNA. RefSeq lists it as uncharacterized. The transcript has 2 exons. The record is from RefSeq and is a predicted model, not a curated record. NCBI's taxonomy places the organism in Eukaryota, Viridiplantae, Streptophyta, Magnoliopsida, Cornales, Cornaceae.
UGCUCUCUCUCUAACCAUUCUCUUUCUUUUUCUAUAUCUAACUAUAUUCACUAAUUGUCUUCCACCAUUUGAUCUUGAUUUUGGAAAGGUUUGAGUUAGAUUUUGAAGAAGAGGAAGGAGGGAAGUUGGAGAGUUUAGCAUGAGCUUCAAAUUGAGGCCAAUAUUGCUAGGGUUUAGAAGGUUUUCGAAAUUUGGGGCUAGCUAAGGCCUUAUUUGGUUUGCUUCAUUAAGGAAUUCGGAGAUGAGCCAGUGAAUGAUAUGCAUCCAUGGACAUUAAUGUAGUUAGGAAUUCAUUUCAUUUUAUUUAUAUUAGAGCUAUGUAAUUUUGGCCAUGAAGGCCUCAUUCCUUGUAUUUAAUUCUUUUGAAAUUGUAUAAAAUGAGAUUUGUGUAAUUUGGUCUUUAAACGAUGUAUUGGGCUUGUAUUCGAUUUAAUUGAAGGCACGGGAGUUUAAUUAUGUUU